CCGUAAUUUAAAAGUAAAUAUUAAAUUCAACAGAUUCAACGAAAACAGGAUUAUUCCGAUAUAAGAGGAGAUUGCAAAUGGUUAUAUCACAACACUUCAGUGAAACUACAGUUACCCUUGGAGUAGACAUAAGUCUACAAUGCAUAGUAAACGGACCACAUCCAGCGAGAUUCGUGUGGGAAAGAGAUAAAGUAGUUAUAUCUUCGAACACAGAUUCUAGAUAUGCAAUAGGACAAACUAUGACGCCA
Long non-coding RNA from Papilio polytes (common Mormon), 248 nucleotides. RefSeq lists it as uncharacterized. The record is from RefSeq and is a predicted model, not a curated record. The transcript has 3 exons. NCBI's taxonomy places the organism in Eukaryota, Metazoa, Arthropoda, Insecta, Lepidoptera, Papilionidae.